UCGACCUAGUUGCCAGCAUUCAGUUGGGCACUCUAAGGUGACUGCCGGCUAAAAGUCGGAGGAAGGUGGGGAUGACGUCAAUCAUCAUGCCCUUAUGACCUGGGCUACACACGUGCUACAAUGGGCGGUACAAAGAGUCGCGAACCCGCGAGGGGGAGCCAAUCCCAAAAAGCCGCUCUCAGUUCGGAUUGCAGGCUGCAACUCGCCUGCAUGAAGCCGGAAUCGCUAGUAAUCGCGGAUCAGCAUGCCGCGGUGAAUACGUUCCCGGGCCUU
RNAcentral lists this ribosomal RNA (273 nucleotides) under uncultured Anoxybacillus sp. Its description in RNAcentral is "partial 16S ribosomal RNA". It matches the Rfam family "Bacterial small subunit ribosomal RNA", at positions 1105 to 1382 of the family's 1533-position model. Lineage: Bacteria; Bacillati; Bacillota; Bacilli; Caryophanales; Anoxybacillaceae. The record is from RNAcentral.